Molecule: ribosomal RNA, 357 nt
Filed under: uncultured bacterium
Lineage: Bacteria
Description: bacterial SSU rRNA
Rfam family: Bacterial small subunit ribosomal RNA
Source: RNAcentral
AAGGUAGUGUAGUUAUAGCUGCAUAUUUGACGUUAGCGACAGAAGAAGCACCGGCUAACUCCGUGCCAGCAGCCGCGGUAAUACGGAGGGUGCGAGCGUUAAUCGGAAUUACUGGGCGUAAAGCGCAUGCAGGUGGUUUGUUAAGUUCAGAUGUGAAAGACCCGGGGCGUCAACCUCGGAAUAGCAUUUGAAACUGGCAGACUAGAGUACUGUAGAGGGGGGUAGGAAGUUUCAGGUGUAGCGGUGAAAUGCGUAGAGAUCUGAAGGAAUACCGGUGGCGAAGGCGGCCCCCUCGGACAGAUACUGACACUCAGAUGCGAAAGCGUGGGGAGCAAACAGGAUUAGAUACCCUGGUAG